AAUCAUUCAAAUAAAGUUCGAAUAAAAUUGGUUCAGUAGUUUCAGUCAGAAGAUCUUACACUGAACCAAUGGAUAACGUAAGUCAAAUAUCGUUGGGCAAGCUACUUUAAAAAUAACAGUUGGUAAGAAAAUGUUGGGCCAACAUUGGGCCAAUAACACCAAAAUGACAGUUGGUGGAAAGUCGUUGGGCCAACAAGGGGCCAAUAGUGUCAAAAUAACUGUUGGCUGAGUUUUGUUGGGCCAACGUCGGUUUCUUGUUGUGCUGCCAACGCCAACUAUUUACCAACUGUGCCAACCAAUCACCAAUGUUGGCCCAACAAAGUAUUGCUAUCUGGGU
Molecule: long non-coding RNA, 337 nt
Filed under: Mytilus galloprovincialis (Mediterranean mussel)
Lineage: Eukaryota; Metazoa; Mollusca; Bivalvia; Mytilida; Mytilidae
Source: RNAcentral